GUUACUACCUAGUAUCUCAUUGUUUUAUAAAAACCCUAAUUUCUCACAUCUCUGCAUCUGGUUAUCUGGAGAGGUUGAAGAACCGGAAUAUAUUUUUCCGAUGGUCUUGCUUACUCCACCGAUCUAAAUUCGGCUAAAGAUUCUAAGAUCAGUUACACGAGAGAUCAAACCCUCGAAUUUAGUGUUCGUCGAGUCGAGGCAAUUACGAUGAUUUUGAAUCCUCGAUUAAUCUGUUUAUGAAUUGUGUUUCUUUGUUACUUUAUUUGAUUGUUUCUUUUUUACAGCGUCUCUCGUUUUCUGUUACUGUUUCUUAAUUUGUAUCAUCGAUACGUUGAUCAUCUUGCUUUCAUUUGUUUCGAUCGAUUCUGUUAGGUUCAUCAUCAAUACUAUCGAAGAUAGUUUUUACCGAUUUGUGAUUUGUUUGAUUUGGUUUUGAUAACGAUCGGGGAUACUGAAAUAGAAGAUCUGUUUUAGGUUUAGGUUUUGUGGUUUAGGUGAUCGAAGAUGAAGUAGUUUUGUGGUGCUCUGUUUCUUGGUUUAGAUUUUGUUCUGAAUCACCGGUUUGAUUCUUGUUCUGAUUCUUCUGGUUUAUACAUAUAUUUUUUUUUUAUGCUACAGAUUUGAUUAAACUCUUCUUUGGUUGAUGAAAAGGAGAAAGAGACGCUUUUCUUCUCUACAUCGUUACAUGAUGAUGGUGAUAUCAUAUAAGUGUGGUUCUGAUUCAUUAUAGUGUUAUGUGUAAUCAAGGAAGCGGCUCUUAGCUGCAAAUUCAAGAGCAUAUAAUGUGGAUUCAAAAUCAGAAAACAGAGAAGUAUGGAUUGAUUGUUGGCGAUAAUUGAAGAAUGCCUAUAAUUACAUAGUUACAUGCAUUUAUUCGCACAUACAUACAUACAUACAUACAUACAUUCAUGUGUCCUUGCAUUCUACAUACAUCAUAUAUGCAUGCAUACAUCCAUGCAUACAUACAUCCAUGCAUACAUACAUGCAUACAUACAUACAUGCAUACAUACAUAUAUGCAUACAUACAUACAUAAAAUACAUACAUACAUGGAUAGUUGCAUAUUUGAUUGCCUUGCACAUUCAUAAUUGCUUCCUUACUUCUGCAUUCAUUCAUUGCUUGUUUGCUUGCUUGCUUAUUUGCUUGCUUGCUCGCUUCCUUGUUUUCUUUUUUUUCUGCUUGCAUACAUCAGGCGAUGCAUAAGAUGAAAAAUGAGUUUGUGAUAUUCUGGGACGGUCUGAAGACAAAGGAAAAGGACCAUGUUCUGGUUCUUGCAGCAACAAAGACAUUUUGACCUUGAUGAGGCUAUCAUUAGAAAGGUUGCCUCGUAGGUAAUUUUAUAAAUAUCUUUCUUGUUGGACUAAUCUUUAUGUCAAAUUGACUUCUGCAGGUUGAUGGUGGGACUACCAGAUGCUCUGAAUAUAACAAAAGAAGACUUUUCCACUGAUUUGGAUAUUGAUGGAGUUAAUAGUAUGACUAAUAGAUAUUCUAGAACGAUCUCGAGGUAAAUUCCUAGUAAUUUCUAUCAUAUAUCAAGUCAAAAUGAUUAGAAAUGCUCAUAUAUUUCCAUGUUACAUGCUCUUUUGGUGCGUGCAUAAUCAAUGUGUUACUGGAGAUAAUGGAGAAGGAAAAAACUACAAUGGAGAUGAUUCGAAGGAGUAUGACGUCAGCCCUAGUAAAGAUUGGGAAACGAGAAUACGGACGGUUGGAGUGUGACGUAGCAUUGUCAGCCUCACCCACCAAACUCGGCCAUAGACCUCUUUUCCAGUUUCCACUAAACUUGUCUCACGUACAUUUUCGAUAUAUAUGUUACAAGAGUUGUCAACUGUAUUUAUACGUAUAACUGGUUACAUAUGUGUUUUUUAAUGGAGAUAUACAUGUCGAGAUUUAAAGGU
Camelina sativa (false flax) is the source of this 1893-nucleotide non-coding RNA. NCBI's taxonomy places the organism in Eukaryota, Viridiplantae, Streptophyta, Magnoliopsida, Brassicales, Brassicaceae. The record is from RefSeq and is a predicted model, not a curated record.